CAGGUCCGUUCAGUGGCAAUGAAAGCACUUACAGGAAUAGAGAAAUGGGGCUGCGCUAGAAUAAAGGAAAGAAAGAAAAUAGGUCCUGGAUCUGGCUUUUGGAUGGAGUUGUAGCCCACUUAAAGAACAGGGUUUGAAUUACAGCCAGUUCAAACAAUGCAUCAAGGAUGAAUAUAUAGAGUGUUCUUGGAAAUAGAUCCCACCUCUUGACUUUCACAC
Long non-coding RNA from Pantherophis guttatus, 219 nucleotides. RefSeq lists it as uncharacterized. The record is from RefSeq and is a predicted model, not a curated record. Lineage: Eukaryota; Metazoa; Chordata; Lepidosauria; Squamata; Colubridae.